This 335-nucleotide ribosomal RNA is filed under the name Klebsiella pneumoniae subsp. pneumoniae. RNAcentral's name for it is "bacterial LSU rRNA". It matches the Rfam family "Bacterial large subunit ribosomal RNA", at positions 1606 to 1921 of the family's 2925-position model. The record is from RNAcentral. Lineage: Bacteria; Pseudomonadati; Pseudomonadota; Gammaproteobacteria; Enterobacterales; Enterobacteriaceae.
UUCCAGGAAAAGCCUCUAAGCAUCAGGUAACAUCAAAUCGUACCCCAAACCGACACAGGUGGUCAGGUAGAGAAUACCAAGGCGCUUGAGAGAACUCGGGUGAAGGAACUAGGCAAAAUGGUGCCGUAACUUCGGGAGAAGGCACGCUGGUGUGUAGGUGAAGCCCCUGCGGGUGGAGCUGAGACCAGUCGAAGAUACCAGCUGGCUGCAACUGUUUAUUAAAAACACAGCACUGUGCAAACACGAAAGUGGACGUAUACGGUGUGACGCCUGCCCGGUGCCGGAAGGUUAAUUGAUGGGGUUAUCCGUAAGGAGAAGCUCUUGAUCGAAGCCCC